ACCUGCCGCUUAUUCGGGGAUAGCCUUUCGAAAGAAAGAUUAAUACCGGAUGGCAUAAUUAUUCCNCGNGGGAUAAUUAUUAAAGAAUUUCGGUUGUCGAUGGGGAUGCGUUCCAUUAGGCAGUUGGCGGGGUAACGGCCCACCAAACCUACGAUGGAUAGGGGUUCUGAGAGGAAGGUCCCCCACAUUGGAACUGAGACACGGUCCAAACUCCUACGGGAGGCAGCAGUGAGGAAUAUUGGUCAAUGGACGAGAGUCUGAGCCAGCCAAGUAGCGUGAAGGAUGACUGCCCUAUGGGUUGUAAACUUCUUUUACAAAGGAAUAAAGUCGGGUAUGGAUACCCGUUUGCAUGUACUUUAUGAAUAAGGAUCGGCUAACUCCGUGCCAGCAGCCGCGGUAACACGGAGGAUCCGAGCGUUAUCCGGAUUUAUUGGGUUUAAAGGGAGCGUAGAUGGAUGUUUAAGUCAGUUGUGAAGGUUAGCGGCUCAACCGUAAAAUUGCAGUUGAUACUGGAUAUCUUGAGUGCAGUUGAGGCAGGCGGAAUUCGUGGUGUAGCGGUGAAAUGCUUAGAUAUCACGAAGAACUCCGAUUG
RNAcentral lists this ribosomal RNA (592 nucleotides) under uncultured Bacteroidota bacterium. Its description in RNAcentral is "bacterial SSU rRNA". It matches the Rfam family "Bacterial small subunit ribosomal RNA", at positions 124 to 715 of the family's 1533-position model. The record is from RNAcentral. Lineage: Bacteria; Pseudomonadati; Bacteroidota.